GAUGAACGCUGGCGGCGUGCCUAAUACAUGCAAGUAGAACGCUGAAGCUUGGUGCUUGCACCGAGCGGAUGAGUUGCGAACGGGUGAGUAACGCGUAGGUAACCUGCCUCUUAGCGGGGGAUAACUAUUGGAAACGAUAGCUAAUACCGCAUAAAAGUCGAUAUCGCAUGAUAUUGAUUUGAAAGGUACAAUUGCAUCACUAAGAGAUGGAUCUGCGUUGUAUUAGCUAGUUGGUGAGGUAACGGCUCACCAAGGCGACGAUACAUAGCCGACCUGAGAGGGUGAUCGGCCACACUGGGACUGAGACACGGCCCAGACUCCUACGGGAGGCAGCAGUAGGGAAUCUUCGGCAAUGGGGGCAACCCUGACCGAGCAACGCCGCGUGAGUGAAGAAGGUUUUCGGAUCGUAAAGCUCUGUUGUAAGAGAAGAACGAGUGUGAGAGUGGAAAGUUCACACUGUGACGGUAACUUACCAGAAAGGGACGGCUAACUACGUGCCAGCAGCCGCGGUAAUACGUAGGUCCCGAGCGUUAUCCGGAUUUAUUGGGCGUAAAGCGAGCGCAGGCGGUUAGAUAAGUCUGAAGUUAAAGGCUGUGGCUUAACCAUAGUACGCUUUGGAAACUGUUUAACUUGAGUGCAGAAGGGGAGAGUGGAAUUCCAUGUGUAGCGGUGAAAUGCGUAGAUAUAUGGAGGAACACCGGUGGCGAAAGCGGCUCUCUGGUCUGUAACUGACGCUGAGGCUCGAAAGCGUGGGGAGCAAACAGG
Molecule: ribosomal RNA, 765 nt
Filed under: uncultured Streptococcus sp.
Lineage: Bacteria; Bacillati; Bacillota; Bacilli; Lactobacillales; Streptococcaceae
Description: bacterial SSU rRNA
Rfam family: Bacterial small subunit ribosomal RNA
Source: RNAcentral